Molecule: ribosomal RNA, 250 nt
Filed under: uncultured bacterium
Lineage: Bacteria
Description: partial 16S ribosomal RNA
Rfam family: Bacterial small subunit ribosomal RNA
Source: RNAcentral
GGGCACUAGGUGUGGGGACCAUUCCACGGUUUCCGCGCCGCAGCUAACGCAUUAAGUGCCCCGCCUGGGGAGUACGGCCGCAAGGCUAAAACUCAAAGGAAUUGACGGGGGCCCGCACAAGCGGCGGAGCAUGCGGAUUAAUUCGAUGCAACGCGAAGAACCUUACCAAGGCUUGACAUGUUCUCGAUCGCCGUAGAGAUACGGUUUCCCCUUUGGGGCGGGUUCACAGGUGGUGCAUGGCUGUCGUCAG